UGUGAGUGAUUAAUACAUCAA
RNAcentral lists this non-coding RNA (21 nucleotides) under Caenorhabditis elegans. Lineage: Eukaryota; Metazoa; Nematoda; Chromadorea; Rhabditida; Rhabditidae. The record is from RNAcentral.